GGUGAUUCAGUGGUAGAAUGCUUGGCUCUAAUCCAUGAGGUCCUGGGUUUGAUUCCUCAGCACCA
RNAcentral lists this transfer RNA (65 nucleotides) under Dipodomys ordii (Ord's kangaroo rat). It matches the Rfam family "tRNA". Rfam says of the family: Transfer RNA (tRNA) molecules are approximately 80 nucleotides in length. The record is from Rfam by way of RNAcentral. Lineage: Eukaryota; Metazoa; Chordata; Mammalia; Rodentia; Heteromyidae.